This 542-nucleotide ribosomal RNA is filed under the name Bacillus sp. 1-8. RNAcentral's name for it is "bacterial SSU rRNA". It matches the Rfam family "Bacterial small subunit ribosomal RNA", at positions 53 to 578 of the family's 1533-position model. Lineage: Bacteria; Bacillati; Bacillota; Bacilli; Caryophanales; Bacillaceae. The record is from RNAcentral.
ACAUGCAAGUCGAGCGGAUCUUCAUUAGCUUGCUUUUGAAGAUCAGCGGCGGACGGGUGAGUAACACGUGGGCAACCUGCCUGUAAGACUGGGAUAACUUCGGGAAACCGGAGCUAAUACCGGAUAAUCCUUUCCCUCACAUGAGGGAAAGCUGAAAGACGGUUUCGGCUGUCACUUACAGAUGGGCCCGCGGCGCAUUAGCUAGUUGGUGAGGUAACGGCUCACCAAGGCAACGAUGCGUAGCCGACCUGAGAGGGUGAUCGGCCACACUGGGACUGAGACACGGCCCAGACUCCUACGGGAGGCAGCAGUAGGGAAUCUUCCGCAAUGGACGAAAGUCUGACGGAGCAACGCCGCGUGAACGAUGAAGGCCUUCGGGUCGUAAAGUUCUGUUGUCAGGGAAGAACAAGUAUCGGAGUAACUGCCGGUACCUUGACGGUACCUGACCAGAAAGCCACGGCUAACUACGUGCCAGCAGCCGCGGUAAUACGUAGGUGGGAAGCGUUGUCCGGAAUUAUUGGGCGUAAAGCGCGCGCAGGCGG